CCCCUAGACGUUCUGGGCUGCACGCGCGCUACAAUAAUACGCACGGCGAGUAUCACCGAGCUCGAAAGGGCAAGGUAAACAAUAGAAAAGGUACUGUAAUGGUUAUAGAUCCUUGUAAUUAUUGAUCUUCAACGAGGAAUUCCUAGUAAGUAUGUGUCAUCAUCACGCACUGAUUACGUCCCUGCCCUUUGUACACACCGCCCGUCGCUCCUACCGAUUGGGUGAGCCGAUGAAACUCUCGGAUGUAGGCUAUUCAUAGCCCGCAGAAGAGAUUUGAAUCGUAGCGCUUAGAGGAAGGAGAAGUCGUAACA
RNAcentral lists this ribosomal RNA (311 nucleotides) under uncultured eukaryote. RNAcentral describes it as "partial 18S ribosomal RNA". It matches the Rfam family "Eukaryotic small subunit ribosomal RNA", at positions 1470 to 1796 of the family's 1831-position model. The record is from RNAcentral.